GUGCCUUUAACUCCGUUCAGAAC
Molecule: non-coding RNA, 23 nt
Filed under: Cricetulus griseus (Chinese hamster)
Lineage: Eukaryota; Metazoa; Chordata; Mammalia; Rodentia; Cricetidae
Source: RNAcentral